UACACAUGCAAGUCGAGCGGAAACGAGUUAUCUGAACCUUCGGGGAACGAUAACGGCGUCGAGCGGCGGACGGGUGAGUAAUGCCUGGGAAAUUGCCCUGAUGUGGGGGAUAACUAUUGGAAACGAUAGCUAAUACCGCAUAACGUCUACGGACCAAAGAGGGGGACCUUCGGGCCUCUCGCUUCAGGAUAUGCCCAGGUGGGAUUAGCUAGUUGGUGAGGUAAUGGCUCACCAAGGCGACGAUCCCUAGCUGGUCUGAGAGGAUGAUCAGCCACACUGGAACUGAGACACGGUCCAGACUCCUACGGGAGGCAGCAGUGGGGAAUAUUGCACAAUGGGCGCAAGCCUGAUGCAGCCAUGCCGCGUGUAUGAAGAAGGCCUUCGGGUUGUAAAGUACUUUCAGUCGUGAGGAAGGC
Molecule: ribosomal RNA, 416 nt
Filed under: Vibrio sp. P5-17
Lineage: Bacteria; Pseudomonadati; Pseudomonadota; Gammaproteobacteria; Vibrionales; Vibrionaceae
Description: bacterial SSU rRNA
Rfam family: Bacterial small subunit ribosomal RNA
Source: RNAcentral